CAGAAAUUGUUGUAGUAUCAUAGAAAAAGAAUCCAGGUUUUGUUAAUCUCCAGACUUCAACUUAGAACUUGCAUUAGUAUUACACAAAAAGUGUCCAGAUAGAUAUCUUGGCAAAUGAGGUUGAGGUCAAGGUCAUGAAGAGCAGAGUCAUUCAUUAUUUGGGCGAUGGUGAUAGGCGCAGGGAUAAGGAUGAGGUUGAGGUUGUGA
Molecule: long non-coding RNA, 207 nt
Organism: Rosa chinensis
Lineage: Eukaryota; Viridiplantae; Streptophyta; Magnoliopsida; Rosales; Rosaceae
Exons: 3
Source: RefSeq, a predicted model, not a curated record